RNAcentral lists this ribosomal RNA (470 nucleotides) under uncultured bacterium. RNAcentral's name for it is "SSU rRNA". It matches the Rfam family "Bacterial small subunit ribosomal RNA", at positions 26 to 518 of the family's 1533-position model. The record is from RNAcentral.
AGGAUGAACGCUGGCGGCGUGCCUAACACAUGCAAGUCGAACGUCCUGUCUCGCAAGAGGCAGGGAGUGGCGGACGGGUGAGUACCACGUGGGUCAUCUACCGUGAGGUGAGGAAUACCGGCGAGAAAUCGCCGACAAGACCGCAUAGGCUCGAUGCAAGUCGAGCAAAGCUCUUUCGAGAGAGGGAGCGCCACACGAGGAGCCUGCGCCCGAUUAGCUAGCUGGUGGAGUAACGGUUCACCAGGGCGACGAUCGGUAGCUGGUCUGAGAGGACGAUCAGCCACACUGGGAUUGAGAACGGCCCAGACUCCUACGGGGGGCAGCAGUGAGGAAUAUUGGACAAUGGGCGCAAGCCUGAUCCAGCCAUGCCGCGUGGAUGAUGAAGGCCUUAGGGUUGUAAAGUCCUUUUAACGGGGAGAUAAUGACGGUACCCGUAGAAUAAGCCCGGCUAACUUCGUGCCAGCAGCCGC